CCUACGGGAGGCAGCAGUGGGGAAUAUUGCACAAUGGGCGCAAGCCUGAUGCAGCGACGCCGCGUGAGGGAUGACGGCCUUCGGGUUGUAAACCUCUUUCAGUAGGGAAGAAGCGAAAGUGACGGUACCUGCAGAAGAAGCGCCGGCUAACUACGUGCCAGCAGCCGCGGUAAUACGUAGGGCGCAAGCGUUAUCCGGAAUUAUUGGGCGUAAAGAGCUCGUAGGCGGUUUGUCGCGUCUGCCGUGAAAGUCCGGGGCUCAACUCCGGAUCUGCGGUGGGUACGGGCAGACUAGAGUGAUGUAGGGGAGACUGGAAUUCCUGGUGUAGCGGUGAAAUGCGCAGAUAUCAGGAGGAACACCGAUGGCGAAGGCAGGUCUCUGGGCAUUAACUGACGCUGAGGAGCGAAAGCAUGGGGAGCGAACAGGAUUAGAUACCCUGGUAGUCCAUGCCGUAAACGUUGGGCACUGGGUGUGGGGGACAUUCCACGUUUUCCGCGCCGUAGCUAACGCAUUAAGUGCCCCGCCUGGGGAGUACGGCCGCAAGGCUAAAACUCAAAUGAAUUGACGG
RNAcentral lists this ribosomal RNA (568 nucleotides) under uncultured bacterium. Its description in RNAcentral is "bacterial SSU rRNA". It matches the Rfam family "Bacterial small subunit ribosomal RNA", at positions 338 to 916 of the family's 1533-position model. The record is from RNAcentral.